RNAcentral lists this ribosomal RNA (608 nucleotides) under uncultured fungus. RNAcentral's name for it is "eukaryotic LSU rRNA". The stretch from base 139 to 292 matches the Rfam family "5.8S ribosomal RNA". Lineage: Eukaryota; Fungi. The record is from RNAcentral.
AUCAUUAGGGAUAUUGCCUUGAGACCGAGGCAUUAUUUUUAUUUAUGUUUAUGACAAUGUGUGAAUUGAAAAGUUACCCAAUUUUUUAUGAUGCGUAUAUUGUAUGAGAAUGAGUUGUUAUUUUUGAAAAUGUGAUAAAACUUUCAGUGACGGAUCUCUUGGUUCUCGCAUCGAUGAAGAACGCAGCGAACUGCGAUACGUAGUGUGAAUUGCAGAUAUCAGUGAAUCAUCGAAUCUUUGAACGCAUCUCGCGCUCUGAGGAAUUCUUCAGAGCAUGCCUGUUUGAGUGUCGUGUAAAUUCUCAACAGCAACUUUUAUUCGAGCUGAUUGAAAUGAGUUGUUGGUGGAUCGUGGCUGUUGCCGGUGCGGUAUAUAUGUAUGCGCCUGGCACAGCUGAAAUGUAGGAGCGGCGUUCUGUGGUGUUGACCGCAGCAGAGCAAACGCACUUUGUCCGUUUGAAAUGUCGGCGUGAUAAGGAAGUUGCGCAGAUGUUGAGGACUAGUGUAGAAAAAGCACUGAGUCGCUUAGAGAAUGCUAAAUCUUUUAACAAAGGACCUCAAAUCAGGUAGGACUACCCGCUGAACUUAAGCAUAUCAAUAAGCGGAGGA